GAUGAACGCUGGCGGCGUGCCUAAUACAUGCAAGUCGAGCGAACAGACGAGGAGCUUGCUCCUCUGACGUUAGCGGCGGACGGGUGAGUAACACGUGGAUAACCUACCUAUAAGACUGGGAUAACUUCGGGAAACCGGAGCUAAUACCGGAUAAUAUAUUGAACCGCAUGGUUCAAUAGUGAAAGACGGUUUUGCUGUCACUUAUAGAUGGAUCCGCGCCGCAUUAGCUAGUUGGUAAGGUAACGGCUUACCAAGGCAACGAUGCGUAGCCGACCUGAGAGGGUGUUCGGCCACACUGGAGCUGAGACACGGUCCAGACUCCUACGGGAGGCAGCAGUAGGGAAUCUUCCGCAAUGGGCGAAAGCCUGACGGAGCAACGCCGCGUGAGUGAUGAAGGUCUUCGGAUCGUAAAACUCUGUUAUUAGGGAAGAACAAAUGUGUAAGUAACUAUGCACGUCUUGACGGUACCUAAUCAGAAAGCCACGGCUAACUACGUG
This 497-nucleotide ribosomal RNA is filed under the name uncultured bacterium. Its description in RNAcentral is "partial 16S ribosomal RNA". It matches the Rfam family "Bacterial small subunit ribosomal RNA", at positions 28 to 507 of the family's 1533-position model. The record is from RNAcentral.